CCUCUCGUAGCUUAGUGGUUAAAGCGUAAAGCCAAAAAUACCGGGUUCGAUUCCCGGCGAGGGUA
This 65-nucleotide transfer RNA is filed under the name Agrilus planipennis (emerald ash borer). It matches the Rfam family "tRNA". From Rfam's summary of the family: Transfer RNA (tRNA) molecules are approximately 80 nucleotides in length. The record is from Rfam by way of RNAcentral. Lineage: Eukaryota; Metazoa; Arthropoda; Insecta; Coleoptera; Buprestidae.